RNAcentral lists this ribosomal RNA (602 nucleotides) under Pachyparnus sp. FC_A17. RNAcentral describes it as "SSU rRNA". It matches the Rfam family "Eukaryotic small subunit ribosomal RNA", at positions 22 to 602 of the family's 1831-position model. The record is from RNAcentral. Lineage: Eukaryota; Metazoa; Arthropoda; Insecta; Coleoptera; Dryopidae.
AGUCAUAUGCUUGUCUCAAAGAUUAAGCCAUGCAUGUCUCAGUACAAGCCAAAUUAAGGUGAAACCGCGAAAGGCUCAUUAAAUCAGUUAUGGUUCCUUAGAUCGUACCCACACUUACUUGGAUAACUGUGGUAAUUCUAGAGCUAAUACAUGCAAACAGAGCUCUGACCGGAGACGGAAGGAGCGCUUUUAUUAGAUCAAAACCAAUCGGCGGCGGGCUUUGCCUGUCGUCGUUCAACCUGGUGAAUCUGAAUAACUUUGUGCUGAUCGCACGGUCUAGCACCGGCGACGCAUCUUUCAAAUGUCUGCCUUAUCAACUGUCGAUGGUAGGUUCUGCGCCUACCAUGGUUGUAACGGGUAACGGGGAAUCAGGGUUCGAUUCCGGAGAGGGAGCCUGAGAAACGGCUACCACAUCCAAGGAAGGCAGCAGGCGCGCAAAUUACCCACUCCCGGCACGGGGAGGUAGUGACGAAAAAUAACGAUACGGGACUCAUCCGAGGCCCCGUAAUCGGAAUGAGUACACUCUAAAUCCUUUAACGAGGAUCAAUUGGAGGGCAAGUCUGGUGCCAGCAGCCGCGGUAAUUCCAGCUCCAAUAGCGUAU